Molecule: unclassified non-coding RNA, 216 nt
Filed under: Funneliformis mosseae
Lineage: Eukaryota; Fungi; Glomeromycota; Glomeromycetes; Glomerales; Glomeraceae
Description: partial contains 5.8S ribosomal RNA and internal transcribed spacer 2
Rfam family: 5.8S ribosomal RNA (bases 1-71)
Source: RNAcentral
GUGAAUCAUCGAAUUUUUGAACGCAAAUUGCACUCCCUGGUAUUCCGGGGAGUAUGCCUGUUUGAGGGUCGUGAGAACAAAAAUCGAAGCGUCGCUCUUUUUUUAAGGGUGAUCGAGUCGGAAUUGAGCCGCCUUUCAAAUGUUAAUGCAUGUCAAAGUGGCUUAAAAUACAUCCAUCCGGUACGAUUAGAGCGUAUUUAAGACCAAUUUUGAUUA